UAAUACGGAGGGUGCAAGCGUUAAUCGGAAUUACUGGGCGUAAAGCGCACGCAGGCGGUUUGUUAAGUCAGAUGUGAAAUCCCCGGGCUCAACCUGGGAACUGCAUUUGAAACUGGCAAGCUAGAGUCUCGUAGAGGGGGGUAGAAUUCCAGGUGUAGCGGUGAAAUGCGUAGAGAUCUGGAGGAAUACCGGUGGCGAAGGCGGCCCCCUGGACGAAGACUGACGCUUAGGUGCGAAAGCGUGGGGAGCAAACAGGAUUAGAUACCCUGGUAGUCCACGCUGUAAACGAUGUCGAUUUGGAGGUUGUGCCCUUGAGGCGUGGCUUCCGGAGCUAACGCGUUAAAUCGACCGCCUGGGGAGUACGGCCGCAAGGUUA
RNAcentral lists this ribosomal RNA (376 nucleotides) under uncultured Serratia sp. RNAcentral's name for it is "bacterial SSU rRNA". It matches the Rfam family "Bacterial small subunit ribosomal RNA", at positions 521 to 896 of the family's 1533-position model. Lineage: Bacteria; Pseudomonadati; Pseudomonadota; Gammaproteobacteria; Enterobacterales; Yersiniaceae. The record is from RNAcentral.